RNAcentral lists this ribosomal RNA (253 nucleotides) under uncultured bacterium. Its description in RNAcentral is "partial 16S ribosomal RNA". It matches the Rfam family "Bacterial small subunit ribosomal RNA", at positions 524 to 776 of the family's 1533-position model. The record is from RNAcentral.
UACAGAGGUCUCAAGCGUUGUUCGGAUUCAUUGGGCGUAAAGGGUGCGUAGGUGGCGAGGUUGGUCAGGUGUGAAAUCUCGGGGCUCAACCCCGAAACUGCACUUGAUACUGCCUUGCUAGAGUACUGGAGAGGAGAUUGGAAUUUACGGUGUAGCAGUGAAAUGCGUAGAUAUCGUAAGGAAGACCAGUGGCGAAGGCGAAUCUCUGGACAGUUACUGACACUGAGGCACGAAGGCCAGGGGAGCAAACGGG